Ricinus communis (castor bean) is the source of this 1810-nucleotide RNA transcript. It is a transcript of the gene named thioredoxin O2, mitochondrial, with no coding region annotated. The record is from RefSeq and is a predicted model, not a curated record. Lineage: Eukaryota; Viridiplantae; Streptophyta; Magnoliopsida; Malpighiales; Euphorbiaceae. The transcript is spliced from 7 exons.
UUCGGGUCUGGUUUGCAAACCCACCUAUUCCACACAACACACCGAAAAACCCUCUGUGUUAACCCCCAAAAGACAACGAAAAGAAAGAAAAGGAAACAUCAAUCAGGUUUACUCAGAGCAGGAAAAUGAGGGGAAUUUAUAUGGUUCGACGGUUCGUUGAACGCCGUAAUUUCUUGAAUUUCGGUUCAGUUAUCCGAAUUUCAAGUGCAAUCCAUGUCUCAUCACUGCCCGAUUUUUCCAUUCCUUCGAAACCAUUGUUUUGUACUGAUUUCUCAACUUACACUACCACAAAGAGUCAAUCUUUAAGCCCUUCUCUUCAAUUCCAAAGAACCCUUUGCUCGUCCCCAGAUAAUUCGAAGGUUGUACUCAUUAAGUCAGAAGAACAGUUCAAUACCUCAAUGAAUAAUGUUCAAGACAAGUCUUUGCCAGCAAUCUUCUAUUUCACUGCUGCGUGGUGUGGGCCAUGCAAGUUCAUAUCUCCUAUCCUUACGGAGGAGAGUAAGAAAUACCCUGAUGUUACAACAUAUAAGAUUGACAUUGACCAGGAAGGCCUUCGGAGCAAAUUGAAUCAAUUAUUUAUUAGUGCUGUGUUGACGGCAUUUUCUGAAAAAUUGGCAUUCUCACGUACCACGGGAACUUCUUGUGUCCAGAGAAGCAGAGCUCAUUUUCAUAUCAAGUCAAAGAGCGUAGAAAAUUACUGUUCCACCAAAUUUACUUCAGUCUUCAGGCCUUUUUCCUCUACUUUCUUGACAUACCAACUUGGGAAUUUCCCAUGGUUGUAUAUUAAACUGGGGAACAUCCUAUUCUCUUACUGCCAGUGGAAUGAGGAUUUCUCUAGAGAUGAAAGUACCCUGAUAUAAAAACGUUUCUCAACAUGACUUGAUUAAAAAUGUUUCUCUAUGUAUUUGUGGCAUGUCUGUAGAGGAAAAAGGGGUUUAAAAUGGCUGUUAAUCUAUAUUCUGCUGGUGCUUUUUGUCUUUUGGUACCAUGAAGCAGGCAUCUCUAGUUCCCUUCUCUUUUCUCUAGAUCAAGUUCUAAAUCCACUCUAGUUUUAGAUAGAGACUUAAGUUGUAUCUUUAUGUCUUUAUGAUAUGGAGUGGGAUAACAAAUGAGCUUAGCCUGAACUGCACCUAAACCUACCUCGUUGCUAUUAUUGAAUUUCUCAUCUGUUUUUACUAGUCUUCUAUUUGGGUUUUGGCCAUUUCUAAACUUUGAUAUUUUUUUUUCCUUACUUCAUAAGAAAGAGAAGGCGACAAGGCCAAUGUUUGAUUUUUUACCUUCUGUCAAUUUGUAAAGGGUCAAUCAUGGUUUUGAACAACUAUAUGGGGUAUGAAACAAGUACGAAAAAAAAUUUAUAAUAAUUGUCAGGAAUUCUUUUCAUAUAUCUAUAUACACGUUUAAACCUAAAGUUGAUAUUUGGUUACAUAUCAUACUCAAUUGCUUUGUAAUUGAUAUUUGAGCUUUAGAGGCUCUUAGUUACUGCUUAAAGUCUUCAGUAUAAUUUUGUACAUUGUGUUUCUUGUUUUAUGCUAUUUUAUUGUGCUUGUUUUGCUCUGUUUUUUUGGAACCUGCAAUUGCUAGUUUGUAUCCAUUGGUUUCUUUUAGCUAUUAGUUGGUUGGCUUAUUGACUUUUUAAUGUUGUCCUGUCAAACAUAUGCAUUAUAUUGUAAGAGGAACGCUGUUAUACUAUUAUAACUUGCGCCUUAUUUUGCAGCCAACACUCCAUUUUUUUCAAAAUGGGAAAAAGGCAGCUGAAAUUGUUGGCGCUGAUGUUGAACGAAUAAAGGAUACAAUGGAAGAACUCUAUGGG